UGGGGAAUAUUGGACAAUGGGGGCAACCCUGAUCCAGCAAUUCCGCGUGUGUGAAGAAGGCCUGCGGGUUGUAAAGCACUUUCAGUAGCCAAGAUGGGAUUUUUUGUUAAUACCAAGAAAUCUUGACAUUAACUACAGAAGAAGCACCGGCUAACUCCGUGCCAGCAGCCGCGGUAAUACGGAGGGUGCAAGCGUUAAUCGGAAUUACUGGGCGUAAAGAGUACGUAGGCGGCUUUGCAAGUCGGGUGUGAAAUCCCUGAGCUUAACUCGGGAACUGCAUUCGAUACUGCAUCGCUAGAGUAUGAUAGAGGAUAGUGGAAUUCCAGGUGUAGCGGUGAAAUGCGUAGAUAUCUGGAGGAACACCAAUGGCGAAGGCAGCUAUCUGGAGCAAUACUGACGCUGAGGUACGAAAGCGUGGGGAGCGAACAGG
This 430-nucleotide ribosomal RNA is filed under the name uncultured bacterium. Its description in RNAcentral is "bacterial SSU rRNA". It matches the Rfam family "Bacterial small subunit ribosomal RNA", at positions 355 to 776 of the family's 1533-position model. The record is from RNAcentral.